CAGACAGCCCAAGUUUGCCCAUUUCACCUUCUAUUCUCAUUUGGCUCCGCUCCACGGUGCAGCGAUGAAUCAUACUGCAGUGGGAGACAAGAAAAAGAGGCAGAGCAGUAGCAGCUCAGUAUUAUCUCAGACCACAGUUCACUCACUCCCUGGAGCACGACAUCCUUUGCGUCAUCUUCUUCUUCCUCGACCUCUUCGACCUCGUCCGAUGCUCUGUCGUCUGCAAAUCCUGGAAUAAGAUUAUGAAUAAGUCUAAGUUGCUGCAACUGGUUUACUACAAGCAGCAGCAGUGGGUCUAGUGGGUUUUUCCAAUAUGUCUAGUAAUUUGGAGGAAUCGCUGAAGUUAUAUUUGAAAUUCAUAACUGGCUUUGCAAGAUGGUGUUCUUUAUAUUGAUUAUUGAUCAAGGGAGAGACCAUUCUGCUUGGGUGUAUUAGUACCAAAUGAAGAUGGGCUUACUGCUUGGCUGUGUAGGCGAGAAGGUGUUUUCCCGUUGUUUGUUGUUUCAUCUUUGUCUGGCUUCCUUCCAUCUUUCACUCAUCUUUCAACCAGAACGCAGGUGAAAAUUGUUUCUAGCAUUGUCUUGGAAGGCAACAGAACAAGUUUUCAGCAGAUCAAAGUUUUCUGGUUGAUAGGUCUUGUGGGUGCUUCCAAUAGGUCUUGUAAUUCAGAGGAACAGUUGAAGUUAUAUUUGGAGGAUGUUGCCAUGGAACAUCAUAGAUUGGCUUUGCAAGAGGGUGUUAUUCAUAUUGAUCAAUGGAGGGGCCAUUCUGCUGGGAAUGCGAUACCGGAUAGGUCUAAAGUUGCUGCAAGUGUUCUUUGGUUUUCUACAGUCCAUAACACAGCUCAAGUCUUGCCUGUUUCUCCUUCCAAUACAACAUCCUCUGCACCAUCUUUUUCCUUCAUCAACCUUAUCCUGUAUGAUUUGUCAUCUGGAAAUCUGCUACAAGCAGUGGCAAACGGGUCUCAUGUGUGUUUCCAAUACAACAGUUCUACUAAUUUGGGGGAAUCGUUGAAGUUAUAUUUGGACUUUGGAGAAGCUUUCAGUGGAACUUCAUGGAUUAGCUUUGCAAGAGGGUGUUAUUGAUAUUUGUUAAUGGACAGGCUGUUCUGCUGGGUGAUAAGUUAUUUUCCCACAUACGCAAUCUGCAAGUCAUGUGGAGUAACUCCUAAUCUGCUCAAUACUGAUUUUCCCUCUUGUAACAAAUCUUCCGGUUUAGAAAAUACGCGUAGAAGAUUUGUAUUCAAAUCCAGAGAGCUCUUCUAUUUGCCUUUGAUUUUGAUUAGACUAUUUCCGGAUGACAAUCAACCCAUUCAUUGGCGGAAUAUAUGCUGUUCAAGGAGUUUUUGAACCAAAAUACAGGUGAAGUUGUUUCCAGCAUUGUUUUGGAAUGCAAAAGAUCAAGUUCUGAAAGCACAAAUGGUGACAUUGGAUGAUCCAAAGGAAGAAGGCUUUCAGAAGAUACCUGAAUUGAUAGCAAUUCCAGAAGUGCUCGAACAUUUUUCACUCUCUUUCUUGGCUGUUUGGAUGAAGAAAGUAGGUACAUCAGAGUGUGGACAUUCAACAAGUAAUUCAGAUCACGCUGUUAAAUACUAGGAAAUUGAUGUUCAAUGUGGCCUUAACAAUUGUAUGGUUGUUAUUGUUUUCGUUCAUAUAAACUGUUAAUAUAUCUUAUGCUUAUUGAUUUUGAAGACCA
Molecule: RNA transcript, 1695 nt
Organism: Ziziphus jujuba (common jujube)
Lineage: Eukaryota; Viridiplantae; Streptophyta; Magnoliopsida; Rosales; Rhamnaceae
Exons: 6
Source: RefSeq, a predicted model, not a curated record